Molecule: ribosomal RNA, 771 nt
Filed under: uncultured bacterium
Lineage: Bacteria
Description: bacterial SSU rRNA
Rfam family: Bacterial small subunit ribosomal RNA
Source: RNAcentral
CUACCAUGCAGUCGAGCGGUAGAGAGAAGCUUGCUUCUCUUGAGAGCGGCGGACGGGUGAGUAAUGCCUAGGAAUCUGCCUGGUAGUGGGGGAUAACGUUCGGAAACGGACGCUAAUACCGCAUACGUCCUACGGGAGAAAGCAGGGGACCUUCGGGCCUUGCGCUAUCAGAUGAGCCUAGGUCGGAUUAGCUAGUUGGUGGGGUAAUGGCUCACCAAGGCGACGAUCCGUAACUGGUCUGAGAGGAUGAUCAGUCACACUGGAACUGAGACACGGUCCAGACUCCUACGGGAGGCAGCAGUGGGGAAUAUUGGACAAUGGGCGAAAGCCUGAUCCAGCCAUGCCGCGUGUGUGAAGAAGGUCUUCGGAUUGUAAAGCACUUUAAGUUGGGAGGAAGGGCAGUAAAUUAAUACUUUGCUGUUUUGACGUUACCGACAGAAUAAGCACCGGCUAACUCUGUGCCAGCAGCCGCGGUAAUACAGAGGGUGCAAGCGUUAAUCGGAAUUACUGGGCGUAAAGCGCGCGUAGGUGGUUAGUUAAGUUGGAUGUGAAAUCCCCGGGCUCAACCUGGGAACUGCAUUCAAAACUGACUGACUAGAGUAUGGUAGAGGGUGGUGGAAUUUCCUGUGUAGCGGUGAAAUGCGUAGAUAUAGGAAGGAACACCAGUGGCGAAGGCGACCACCUGGACUGAUACUGACACUGAGGUGCGGAAGCGUGGGGAGCAAACAGGAUUAGAUACCCUGGUAGUCCACGCCGUAAACGAUGUCAACU